This 342-nucleotide ribosomal RNA is filed under the name Triticum aestivum (bread wheat). Its description in RNAcentral is "partial small subunit ribosomal RNA". The record is from RNAcentral. Lineage: Eukaryota; Viridiplantae; Streptophyta; Magnoliopsida; Poales; Poaceae.
AUGUUUCAGUUGGAUGUUGAAUUACCCCAUCAAGAGAAGCUGAACAAAGAAGAGUGUUGUGGUGUUGGCAAAGUCAAAUUUCGCGGCGCCUGCUUCAAACCACACUGGCACCUCUACAGCCAUUUUUGGGAAAUCAAGCGUCCGCACUAUGGUUUCUAUAAAACUGAGAGGAUAUUCAUUUUACCGGCGCUGGCAAGGAGGUCAAGAAGGGAGCAACUUCCAUUGGUUCCAAGGAUGCCGGCGACCCCUGCCAUGGCAAACCGGCAGUGGACGAGCUCGGCCUGGACGUACCACUUCAAGGCCUCAGGCUGCUCCCCGAGCCCCAAGGGACCAAACCCGUAA